Molecule: ribosomal RNA, 342 nt
Filed under: uncultured bacterium
Lineage: Bacteria
Description: bacterial SSU rRNA
Rfam family: Bacterial small subunit ribosomal RNA
Source: RNAcentral
AGAGUUUGAUCAUGGCUCAGAUUGAACGCUGGCGGCAGGCCUAACACAUGCAAGUCGAGCGGAUGACGGGAGCUUGCUCCUGGAUUCAGUGGCGGACGGGUGAGUAAUGCCUAGGAAUCUGCCUGGUAGUGGGGGACAACGUUUCGAAAGGAACGCUAAUACCGCAUACGUCCUACGGGAGAAAGCAGGGGACCUUCGGGCCUUGCGCUAUCAGAUGAGCCUAGGUCGGAUUAGCUUGUUGGUGAGGUAAUGGCUCACCAAGGCGACGAUCCGUAACUGGUCUGAGAGGAUGAUCAGUCCCACUGGAACUGAGACACGGUCCAGACUCCUACGGGAGGCAGC